RNAcentral lists this ribosomal RNA (553 nucleotides) under uncultured bacterium. Its description in RNAcentral is "partial 16S ribosomal RNA". It matches the Rfam family "Bacterial small subunit ribosomal RNA", at positions 355 to 899 of the family's 1533-position model. The record is from RNAcentral.
UGGGGAAUUUUGGACAAUGGGCGAAAGCCUGAUCCAGCAAUGCCGCGUGUGUGAAGAAGGCCUUCGGGUUGUAAAGCACUUUUGUCCGGAAAGAAAUCCUUGGCUCUAAUACAGUCGGGGGAUGACGGUACCGGAAGAAUAAGCACCGGCUAACUACGUGCCAGCAGCCGCGGUAAUACGUAGGGUGCAAGCGUUAAUCGGAAUUACUGGGCGUAAAGCGUGCGCAGGCGGUUUGCUAAGACCGAUGUGAAAUCCCCGGGCUCAACCUGGGAACUGCAUUGGUGACUGGCAGGCUAGAGUAUGGCAGAGGGGGGUAGAAUUCCACGUGUAGCAGUGAAAUGCGUAGAGAUGUGGAGGAAUACCGAUGGCGAAGGCAGCCCCCUGGGCCAAUACUGACGCUCAUGCACGAAAGCGUGGGGGAGCAAAACAGGAUUAGAUACCCUGGUAGUCCACGCCCUAAACGAUGUCAACUAGUUGUUGGGGAUUCAUUUCCUUAGUAACGUAGCUAACGCGUGAAGUUGACCGCCUGGGGAGUACGGUCGCAAGAUUAAAA